AAACAUACUGAUGCUAAAAUAUGUAGCUAGGAGAGAAGGAAAAAGAUAAUAAUGAUGAAGUUGUCCUUAUUUUUACAGACAGUAUUUAUAGCUCUAAGACAAGCCAGUGAGCAAGGAGUUAUUCGCUGUGAUGAACAGUUUUACUGCCCAAAUGGUUCACGUUGCUGUAAGGGACUCAGAGGCCAGUGGAACUGCUGUCCUAACUAACAGGAUUUUCUGACGGUCAGCGUAAAAUUAUGGAGCCUCCUUCGCAUGCCGAAGACAGAAGACGACGACCACAGGAACACACCAAAAAUACUCAAAUCACAUUAUUCGCUUUUACUUGGCCACUUUUUUCUCUAAUGAUAGGCAAACUUUCCCAAUAAAAUCUCAUUGCGUCUCACUGUCUCGCUUAGGUUGUGUACUGAUUAUCACGACUGUCAUAUAUAAUCUUCCUGCCUUGAUGUUACUUCAGGUGAAUGUUUAGCUGCAAGGAACAAUAAAGCAUUCAUGUGAAUUCCUC
Molecule: non-coding RNA, 502 nt
Organism: Poecilia reticulata (guppy)
Lineage: Eukaryota; Metazoa; Chordata; Actinopteri; Cyprinodontiformes; Poeciliidae
Source: RefSeq, a predicted model, not a curated record